This 459-nucleotide ribosomal RNA is filed under the name uncultured bacterium. Its description in RNAcentral is "SSU rRNA". It matches the Rfam family "Bacterial small subunit ribosomal RNA", at positions 26 to 518 of the family's 1533-position model. The record is from RNAcentral.
AGAACGAACGCUGGCGGCAUGCCUAACACAUGCAAGUCGAACGCUCUUGGGGCUUCGGUUCCAAGGGAGUGGCGCACGGGUGAGUAGCGCGUGGGAACCUGCCCUGGAGUGGGGGAUAACCGAGGGAAACUUCGGCUAAUACCGCAUGCGCCCGGGAAACCGGGGAAAGAUUUAUCGCCCUAGGAGGGGCCCGCGUCGGAUUAGCUAGUUGGUGGGGUAACGGCCUACCAAGGCUUUGAUCCGUAGCUGGUCUGAGAGGAUGAUCAGCCACACUGGGACUGAGACACGGCCCAGACUCCUACGGGAGGCAGCAGUGGGGAAUAUUGGACAAUGGGCGCAAGCCUGAUCCAGCAAUGCCGCGUGAGUGAUGAAGGCCUUCGGGUUGUAAAGCUCUUUCGCACGCGAGGAUGAUGACGCUAGCGUGAGAAGAAGCCCGGCUAACUUCGUGCCAGCAGCCGC